CCCCUAGAUGUUCUGGGCCGCACGCGCGCUACACUGAACAGUUCAACAAGUCUUAACCUUGGCCGAUAGGUCUGGGUAAUCUUUGAACGCUGUUCGUGAUUGGGAUAGACCUUUGCAAUUAUGGGUCUUCAACGAGGAAUUCCUAGUAAACGCAAGUCAUCAGCUUGCAUUGAUUACGUCCCUGCCCUUUGUACACACCGCCCGUCGCACCUACCGAUUGAAUGGUCGGGUGAAAUCUCGGGACGGCGGCUUGGUCGCUUGCGUCCGACUGCUGAAACUUGAUUAAACCAUAUCAUUUAGAGGAAGGUGAAGUCGUAACA
RNAcentral lists this ribosomal RNA (320 nucleotides) under uncultured eukaryote. RNAcentral describes it as "partial 18S ribosomal RNA". It matches the Rfam family "Eukaryotic small subunit ribosomal RNA", at positions 1470 to 1796 of the family's 1831-position model. The record is from RNAcentral.